AGCGGGAUAGAGUAGUGGUUACUCACAGGUUUCAUACGCCUGUUUUACGAAGGUUCGAUUCCUUCUCCCGCGU
Molecule: transfer RNA, 73 nt
Rfam family: tRNA
About the family: Transfer RNA (tRNA) molecules are approximately 80 nucleotides in length. Their secondary structure includes four short double-helical elements and three loops (D, anti-codon, and T loops).
Source: Rfam